Long non-coding RNA from Etheostoma cragini (Arkansas darter), 98 nucleotides. RefSeq lists it as uncharacterized. NCBI's taxonomy places the organism in Eukaryota, Metazoa, Chordata, Actinopteri, Perciformes, Percidae. The record is from RefSeq and is a predicted model, not a curated record. The transcript has 3 exons.
AAGAGCCCCUCCAUUCAAAAUUGUAUUUUUCUUAUGUUUAUGUCCCCUAAAAUGUGAGACCUUGACUAUACUGACUUGUACAUGUGACGGUUUGUCAC